CUACAUGGAGUCGAGGAAUGUAGAGUGACAGAUGGUGCCCAAAGGGAUCUCAACGGCGAUGAAGGUGACAUGGUAGUUUUACCUAGGUUCAGGUCCAGGGAUGAGUAAUAGCCCUACGUCCUACAUAUAUGUCUUUAUUGUUGAGAGGAUUACAAUGGUCAUGAACUUGUAGGUCAACUCCAUAUCAGACACACAAUAUGCAUGAAAAAGGAUACUACUAAGUCGUAGAAUAGAAAGGGAUAAUUAAAUGACCAAUUGAACAUGUCAUCAGUUCACACAAUUGACCAUAUCACUAUAUUAGAACACACAAUUUUUUUUGGAUGUUACUUGGGCAUCAUCAAGAUGAACACAUCCAAAUAAAACAGAUAUGACAAGUUCAGACAUACCUGGGCAUUGUAAGUAAAUUUUGGUUCCAGAAAAUACUACACCUAACGACCACCAAUGCUAGACCAUCAGGAGAUGAUGGAGAUUUACCAAUUUCCGCCAAUGGCUGCAUCGACUCUGCUGUUUCCCCAUUGCUUCAUAAAUAAAUAAAAUUGCAUAAAGCAUCCAAAUUUCAACAAUUAACCAAUGGGUGUACACUACUGGGGUUCGACAUCGAAAUUUUAGUACUAAAUCAUCUUCGGCGCUUGCACUAAUCAGAAAAAUAGGACAACUUGGGCGAUUGGACUAAUCAGAAAAAUAGGAGGUGCUUACUGAACAUACCUAACCAAAACCAAGGGUCCACGGCGAGUGGGCGACGAGCCGACGAGGGAGCGGCGUCUCAGCGUGCACUGCCGGCAUGGAUGAACCGUGUACGGAUAACGGGGUUCCAAGCGCGGAGAAGCCAGAGGAGCCUCGGGCGCCGGCCCGCGGGCUGCCGGUGUGGGCGGACUGGGACGGCGAGCCGUGGGCGUGCCGCGUGGUUGGAAGGGGAUGGGGCUUCCGAGGAGGAGGUCAGAAGUG
Molecule: long non-coding RNA, 945 nt
Filed under: Triticum aestivum (bread wheat)
Lineage: Eukaryota; Viridiplantae; Streptophyta; Magnoliopsida; Poales; Poaceae
Description: long non-coding RNA (TAES_LNC015640)
Source: RNAcentral